CAAGCCCAGUCUGUCGAAAAAGAAGAUGUGAAAAUUGCCAUCGCGUUUGUUUUUAUCUUUUUUUGUAGAAGAUAUUAAGCCAUAAGUAAUACUGUAUUCGAUAAACAAUGGACACAUAACUUAAUCCAGUACACAAAAAGCAUUUAUGAUUCCGUUUUAGCGAAGCAAGGCCUCAGGUUUUUUCUUUUACAGGUUGUUUAUCUAUCUGGUCUUUACUUAAGGAGAGUGAAGAUAACUAGCCUGCCGUUCUCCACCCAAACUGAGCCCAAGCCUAUAUUGACUGGGGUCCUGAUUGUGACAAAGGAGUUCCCUGGGCACCGCAGGAGAAAUGGCAUCAGUGAAAGACAGUAGUCAAACACUCCGGCUGAAUAUCAUCACGAAAGAUAAAGAAGAGGAAGUGAAGAUUUGGGAAUGUGAUGAUUACCCAGGAGAGAGUCCAGACAUGGCAUCAGUAGAGCUGGUAGGCAGCAGUCAAACACUGGGGCUGAAUGUCACCAUUAAUGAUGAACAGAAGGAAGACAUUGGGGAAUCUGCUGAUCAUGGAGAGACCUCUAACUCCUCUGACCAAGUCGAGACAUUUCCUGCAUCAGGGAAGAAACAUCAGGAAGGGAGCAAAGCUAAGGGGUCUCGCCACUGCCCACACUGUGAGGAGAGCUUCCCAUUCCCAUCAUAUCUUGAAAGACACCUUCGAAAACAUUCUGGAGAGAAGCCUUAUUCCUGCUCUGUCUGUGGGAGGAGUUUCUCUCAACUGAGUGGCUUGAACGUGCACCAGCGAACACACACUGGAGAGAAGCCUCACCGCUGUCCUCACUGUGAGGAGAGUUUCCCAUUCCCAUCAUAUCUUGAAAGACACCUGCGAAAACAUUCUGGAGAGAAGCCUUAUUCCUGCUCUGUCUGUGGGAUGAGUUUCUCUCAACUGAGUGGUUUGAACGUGCACCAGCGAACACACACUGGAGAGAAGCCUCACCACUGUCCUCACUGUGAGAAGAGUUUCCCAUUCCCAUCAUAUCUUGAAAGACACCUGCGAAAACAUUCUGGAGAGAAGCCUUACUGCUGCUCUGACUGUGGGAAAUGCUUCACAACAUCAAGUCAUCUAACCUCUCAUCGUCGAGUUCACACAGGGGAGAAGCCUUACUCCUGCUCUGACUGCGGGAAGAGUUUCCCAUUCCCAUCAUAUCUUGAACGACACCUGCGGAAACAUGCUAACCAUUGUGUUAUAUGAAGGUCAUGUGGUGGCAACCAGCACUGAACAAUACAUUUUUGGCCAGCAGUCAACCCAGCCGGCCAGCAGUCAUCCCAGCCGGCCAGCAGUCAACCCAGCCGGCCAGCAGUCAUCCCAGCCGGCCAGCAGUCAACCCAGCCGGCCAGCAGCCAACCCAAGCCGGCCAGCAGCCAUCCCAGCCGGCCAGCAGCCAUCCCAGCCGGCCAGCAGCCAUCCCAGCCGGCCAGCAGCCAUCCCAGCCGGCCAGCAGCCAUCCCUGCCGGCCAGCAGUCAACCCAGCCGGCCAGCAGUCAACACAGCCGGCCAGCAGUCAUCCCAGCCGGCCAGCAGUCAUCCCAGCCGGCCAGCAGUCAUCCCAGCCGGCCAAACCAUACACUGUUUCUUGUUCACUGGAAUCGUCAUUAAGUAGAAGAGGAAUCGGUUAGAUUAUCCUUUCCUCCAAAACGUAUCAAUCCCAUAUCAUCUGUUUUGUAUGUGUCAAGUCUAUUGAGGGGGGCACAGGUUACAGUUUGUAUGUGUCAAGUCUAUUGAGGUGGGCACAGGUUACAGUUUGUAUGUGCCAAGUCUAUUGAGGUGGACACAGGUUACAGUUUGUAUGUGCCAAGUCUAUUGAGGGGGGCACAGGUUACAGUUUGUAUGUGUCAAGUCUAUUGAGGGGGGCACAGGUUACAGUUUGUAUGUGUCAAGUCUAUUGAGGGGGGCACUGGUUACAGUUUAGGCUUAAAGCCUGUUUUGUAUGUGUCAAGUAUAUUGAGGGAUGCACAGGUUACAGUUUAGGCUUAAAGCCUGUUUUGUAUGUGUCAAGUCUAUUGAGGUGGACACAGGUUACAGUUUGUAUGUGUCAAGUCUAUUGAGGGGGGCACUGGUUACAGUUUAGGCUUAAAGCCUGUUUUGUAUGUGUCAAGUAUAUUGAGGGAUGCACAGGUUACAGUUUAGGCUUAAAGCCUGUUUUGUAUGUGUCAAGUCUAUUGAGGGGGGCACAGGUUACAGUUUGUAUGUGUCAAGUCUAUUGAGGGGGGCACAGGUUACAGUUUAGGCUUAAAGCCUGUUUUGUAUGACAUAUUAUAAGUGGUGUCCAGUACAACCUAUGACAAAGCUUAUAAUUAGUUUUAUUGAUAGUUUGGCUUCUUUGACGAGUGAAAUUAUAUUCUCCCAGACAUUCUCCCAGUCAAUAGCCUCAUCAUCAGACAUAUACUUUACCCAUGAUUUAACCAUUUGGAAGAUAUUUUUUUGCUUUAGUAAUUGAAGAUGAAAAUAAAUAGCAGACACCAAACCUCUGGACAAGUUCCCAAAUUUGUACCUAAUGGGACACCGUAGGCACAAAGUGCAGACUGGAGACAAAGGUAAAAGAGACAAAGAUCCUGGAAACUAGGGAGACCCUCUUGAGUUAAAUACAUCUCCUAGAUUUUUGAUCCCUUUUGCAGUCCAGGCUUUUGGCUCAAAUGGUUUAUUACCUGAAAGUAAUAGCCUUGUUAUGCCGUAGAGGGGUAUAGAGAUGCCACUUCCUGUUACCACCUACAUCAUCUCUCAUGGACAGAUCUAUGUAAACGUAACUGGUACCAUAGAAUCUGUCUGGAAGGAACGGGACGUGUGUGAUAACGAACGGCAGUAGGUCUGGUGUUUUGGAGUUUUCGUCACCGGUUAUUUGGACAAAUCACGAUGUCGCAGAUGUUUUAGCGUCUUCCGAAUUUCGAAAGGCGAGUGGACAUUCGAUUCGUCACUAGUAAAGAGAGAGGGUGAAGCUCCUCAUUUUCUAGAAUCUCUUAAUCCAUUUCUCUUAACACAUAUGGACCUAGAAUUGUAAUCGUGCAGCUGACCAAUUACGCAACACUUUAGUUCUGGAUUAACGAAUUUGACCAUUUAAACACUUCUAAACAUUCCUCAAAUUAUUUACUGCAUUAGAGAUAAUAGAACAGUAAUAUACUAUAACAUGUAUUCCACAUUAUACUAGAAAAAGAACACAUCUUUCUAUCUAGUAAAAGGGGAAACUAGUUCCUUUUCAAUAAUUACCAAGAGACUGGUGUAGACUGAUGAACCAUGAUAUAAGUGAUCGGCCAUUAAGACGUCCGCAUGCAUCCCAGCCUAAACAGGUCCUUGUAGUACCACAAACCGGACCUUUGCCAUUCCAUAAAGGUAUUGAUGUACAUGUUUAUUGAGUAAGUUUACAUUCCUGCUGACUGUCCGUCACGAAAGAGGAUUUUAAGAUUUUGGGAAUACGAUGAUUAACCAGGUAAGCGAGCAGGUUUUAUUACCAGCGAUAUGCGAUCUGAUCACUGAUAAUAAAGGCUUUACCCUGAAUUCAGAUCUCGUCCCUGCUGGAUAAAUCUCAACAGAAGAUCUUAAGAAGGGUUGUUUCCUUCUGAAGUAACAACAAUCCAGCCGCAUGGUGGCAAAUAUCUGUUUGUUUUUAUUGGCCC
Salvelinus namaycush (lake trout) is the source of this 3639-nucleotide long non-coding RNA. RefSeq lists it as uncharacterized. The transcript is spliced from 4 exons. The record is from RefSeq and is a predicted model, not a curated record. Lineage: Eukaryota; Metazoa; Chordata; Actinopteri; Salmoniformes; Salmonidae.